UACGUAGGCACCAAGCGUUGUCCGGAUUUAUUGGGCGUAAAGAGCUCGUAGGCGGUUCGGUAAGUCGGGUGUGAAAACUCUGGGCUCAACCCAGAGAGGCCACCCGAUACUGCCGUGACUGGAGUGCGGUAGGGGAGUGGGGAAUUCCUGGUGUAGCGGUGAAAUGCGCAGAUAUCAGGAGGAACACCAGUGGCGAAGGCGCCACUCUGGGCCGUAACUGACGCUGAGGAGCGAAAGCCAGGGGAGCAAACGGG
This 254-nucleotide ribosomal RNA is filed under the name uncultured bacterium. RNAcentral describes it as "partial 16S ribosomal RNA". It matches the Rfam family "Bacterial small subunit ribosomal RNA", at positions 524 to 776 of the family's 1533-position model. The record is from RNAcentral.